CUUAGUGGCGAACGGGUGAGUAACGCGUGAGUAACCUGCCCUGGAGUGGGGGACAACAGUUGGAAACGACUGCUAAUACCGCAUAAGCCCACGGAUCCGCAUGGAUCUGCGGGAAAAGGAUUUAUUCGCUUCAGGAUGGACUCGCGUCCAAUUAGCUAGUUGGUGAGGUAACGGCCCACCAAGGCGACGAUUGGUAGCCGGACUGAGAGGUUGAACGGCCACAUUGGGACUGAGACACGGCCCAGACUCCUACGGGAGGCAGCAUG
Molecule: ribosomal RNA, 266 nt
Filed under: uncultured bacterium
Lineage: Bacteria
Description: partial 16S ribosomal RNA
Rfam family: Bacterial small subunit ribosomal RNA
Source: RNAcentral